CGCGUGGGGAUCUACCCAUUGGUACGGAAUAACCCAGGGAAACUUGGACUAAUACCGUAUAAGCCCUUCGGGGGAAAGAUUUAUCGCCAAUGGAUGAACCCGCGUCUGAUUAGCUAGUUGGUGAGGUAAAGGCUCACCAAGGCGACGAUCAGUAGCUGGUCUGAGAGGAUGAUCAGCCACACUGGGACUGAGACACGGCCCAGACUCCUACGGGAGGCAGCAGUGGGGAAUAUUGGACAAUGGGCGCAAGCCUGAUCCAGCCAUGCCGCGUGAGUGAUGAAGGCCUUAGGGUUGUAAAGCUCUUUCGCCGGUGAAGAUAAUGACGGUAACCGGAGAAGAAGCCCCGGCUAACUUCGUG
RNAcentral lists this ribosomal RNA (358 nucleotides) under uncultured Alphaproteobacteria bacterium. RNAcentral describes it as "bacterial SSU rRNA". It matches the Rfam family "Bacterial small subunit ribosomal RNA", at positions 114 to 507 of the family's 1533-position model. Lineage: Bacteria; Pseudomonadati; Pseudomonadota; Alphaproteobacteria. The record is from RNAcentral.